CCAGGUUGAGUCCUUUUCAACUAGUUUUUGUGUUGUUUUUUGAAACCUCAAGUCACUGACUCCUUCAGCAGUGGUUUAAGGAAGUAUCUUAAUUUUUAAAUCACAUGUUGACCAUGCAGCCAAUUGUUGGCCCGUAGAGUGAACAAAACCAGACCACAAGAUUGAGGGCUUGGAGCUGGAGAAAGGGAAAAGAAAAAGCAGACUGUGACUCUCUGGGGAAAGAACUGAAAGAUGACACUAGGAAUUCUCAAAGCGAGAGGAAAAGGAAAGGCCCUUUUUCGGAAAUGACCUCUGAUAAACACACCCUCCAGGGUUACACCUGCCACUGUGUCUUCCACGGACAGACAAGCUGCACUUUAGCAGUCCUGAAUACCUAGAGACUUCCUUAACAGAGAGUGGGGAAUCUCGUCAUCUUGCAUGGGGAUGGGAGCUCGAAGGGAGAACCUCAGCCUUCCAGAAGGUUAUAUAAAACCAGUUGAGAAUUUCCCUAAGAAUGGAGCAGUGGACAAACAAUUGUUAUUGUAAUCCAAAUACAUGAGUCUACCUACAUAAUGGAGAAAUGCUAACUUACAGAAAGGUCAGGUUGGUGUUUGAAUGGUUUUAAUUUCCUUUUAUAAAAUUACAGGAAUUAUACAAUUACAUUGAUUAAUUGUAAUCAGUUUUGAGUCUAGCUAAAAAAAAAAAAAAAAUCCGUUCCUUCUCAAAUUCUUUCCUCCUGCAUUUUAAAUCUCUCUCUCUCUCUCUUUUUUUCUGAGACAGGGUCUCACUUUAUUACCCAGGCUGGAGUGCAGUGGCACGAUCUUGGAUUACUGCAACCUCUGCCUCCUGGGCUCAACUGAUCCUCAUGCCUCAGCCUCCCAAGUAGCUGAGAGUACAGGCGCAAGCUACCGGGCUUGGCUAAUUUUUGUAUUUUUUGUGAAGAUGGGAUUUCACCAUGUUUCUCAGGCUGGUAUUGAACUCUUGAGCUCAGGCAAUCCACCUGCCUCAGCCCUUCCAAAUUGCUAGGAUUACAAAUGUGAACCACUGCACCUGACCUAAAUAUCUCUCUUAAAUGAAUCAUUUCCCUCUAUCCCUUAACAAAAAAUAACUUUUUAAAAAUCUUGAAAAUUACUUCCUCUUGACAAAACCUCCUCAAUCUCAUACACCAGCUUCCAUGUCUCUCAUAACUUAUUUGUACCCUGAGCAACUAGUAUACCACUCCUAGUUUUAUAUUUUCACUAUUCUCUCAUCUAUCUUUCUAUCAUAAUAUAUUUGUAUAGUAAAUAAGUAUAGUAUAUUUGGAAAAUCGCAUUUCCCAAAAUAACCAAUAACUUACUUGUACAGGUCUCUUUCAAUCAUUAUUUUCUUUGACUUGUCUGAAGUAUGUAACAUCAAUUCUGAUAUGGUUUGGCUCUGUCUUCUACCCAAAUCUCAUUUUGAAUUGUAAUCCCCAGAAUCUCCAGGUAUUGAGGGAGGGACCUGGUGGGAGGUGAUUGGAUCAUGGGGGAAGUUUCCCCUCAUGCUGUUUUUGUGAUAGUGAGUUCUCAUGAUAUCUGAUGGGUUUAAAAGUGUUUGACAGUUCCUCCUACACACACACACACACUCUCUCUCUCUCUCUAGCCUGCCACUAUGUAAGAAGUGUCUGCUUCCCCUUCCACCAUGAUUGUAGGUUGCCUGAGGCCUCCCCAGCCAUGUGGAACUGUGAGUCAGUUAAACCUCUUUCCUUGAUAAAUUACCCAGUCUCAGGAAUUUCUUUACAGCAGUGCGAAAAUGGACUAAUACAAAUCCCCUUGUUUAUUUCCUUGAAAUUAUCCUCCUUUCGUUUCUAUAGUAUUAUAAUUAUGCUAAUGUUUCUUCUUCCUUUAUAAGUUCUUUCUGAUAUCUUAGAGGUCAUCUCAGACCUCAAGAAACUUCCAGUCUAAUGUAAAGACUGACAUUUUGCAUUUUGGGCCAGCCACUCUCUGCACAAACCUCUUCUUCCAAGCGAUUUUUCCUGUAAACAUUUGCUGUACCCGAUUAUGUGUAAAGCACAUAAUGUACCAUAUGAACAUGGAUGGGGAGAGGUAAUUUGAAUGAAAGAGAUAGGGAGGUUUUGUACAAGAGGUGAUACUUGGGAUGGACAUCCAAGGAUGGAAAACUUCAACAGUAAGAAUUGGAGAAAAGGUAUUCCACAUUGAAGUGACUACUUGAGCAGUGACACUAAAGUAAGAAAAAAAUAUUGCAUAUUCUGGAUAGUUCUGGUAAAAUAUGAAGGGGGAUGAAAUAAAAGAUUUGACUAUAGUACAUUGUGAGGUUUGGGGAGCAUGUAGAUCAUGGGUGAAUGCUUUGAUGCCUGGACAUUUUUAUGUAGGUGAGAAGGGGCCAUCAACAAUUUACGGACAGAGGAGUCUCACUAUUAAAGCUAUAUUUUAGAAACAGAACACAAGUGUAACUGUGGAGAAUAUAUUAGUGAGGAGGAGAUUUUAGUGGUGGGGUAUCUGUUUUUUUAUGUAUAUCAUUCAGCAUCAAUUAUACAUUAUUCUGUUGUAUUACUUAUUUAUCUUUUCUAUUGCUAAAUAUUUACUUAGGUGUUAACUUCCAAGAUAUUAAGCUCUAAGGCAGGGCAAUCUUGUUUUCCUUUCAAGUAUACUAUUUCAUACACAGAAGUUAUCACUCUGACUCAAACAUUAUCAUUAUUGUUAUUAUAUUAACUAACAUGUAUGGAAAACUUACCAUGUGCCAGGCACUGUGUAAAGUCAGUUACACGCAUUAUGUGGUUGAAUCCUUAAUAUGAUUGUUCCCAUUUUACACUUGUAUAAACAGAGACUUAGAGGACUUAGUCAUUUUCUGUAAGUCAUAUUGUUGUUAAGCAGUGGAGCCAGGAUUCAAAGCAAGUUUUUUGUGACACCAAAGAUACUGACAACAGUGUCAAAUAGACUCUCCAUAGUGGUCAAUCAAUGAAUACUUUUGAAUGGUUGGAUAAAUAAAAAAUAGUGGAUAAAAGAGUAAAGCCUUUUCAACUUGAGUUGACUCAUAUAGGCAAAUGAAACUUAUCCACUCAUAUUGGGAUGAUACCCUGUGUUUGAAUUGUACAUAUAUGUUUAUCCAGAAAAGAAAGGUAAUAAUACCUUUUAAGAUAAGAAAGGUAAUAAUAAUGGUAUAGGGCAUUAUUUUUUUAAGAUAAGAAAGGUAAUAAUAAUGGUAUAGGGCAUUAUUUAGAUAAAUAAAUGAACAUCCUGUGUGUCCUCAGGAUUUAACAUUCUUUUGUUGGUGUCAUUCAUAAACUAUAGCAAUUUUUUGGAGGACUUUCUUCAACCUACUGAAGCCUUUGACUGAACACAUGGGAAUUUCCAUCCUCCUGGUGUGACCCUUAGCCCAUGACUAUGUGGGAAUUUGAAAGCCCAACUCUCUUGACACAAAUUAGUACAACUCUGAGAUGUAACUUACUCUCCAGAGCUCCCCUCUGGGAUUAGGCUGAGGUUAUCCUGUGUGGGAAAGGCUUGAGGUCACACUCUUAUCUGGCUUCCUCGCCUUCACUUUCCUGCUUACUUCACCCUUUUAUUAGGAUCACUAAUAAGCAUUUACUUGAUAAAUCACUGGCCUAUGAACCUUCAUCUCAGGGUCUACUUCUGGGAAAACUGACCUAGAAAAAAAUUAUACACCAAGGCCUAAUGGGUGAGCUCAUUAUUUCCUCUUAAAUAAACAUUAGUUUUUUUCAAUAUUCAACAUGGCAUGUGCACCUUCCUACUUUGUUUUGGGUGAAAAAAAAAUCAGCAACCAACAUUACAUGCCCUCUGUUAUUAUAUAAGCUUUCAUGAGUUAUUAUUUAACCUGUAAUACUUUUUGUAGCAAGCCAUACAGAAAAAUUUUCUGGGUGUAUUCAUAUAUAAAAGUACACCAUAUAUAUUUAUUAUGUAAAAACUAAAAAUUGCUUUAAAAAUUCCACUAGCGAAUUUCUGGGAGUUUGAAAUACUGUUCUUAAGUCGUAUUCUAAAUAUAGUAAAUGUGUUUUUGUCAUGCGAGUACUUUCUGAAUUCAUAUGGUUCAGAUAAUUCUAUUUCUCCCAAUAUUAUGGGCAAAACAUUGAUAUGUUUUCUUCCUUUAUUUCCCAAACUGAGCAUUUUCUUUCCUCCAACAGGACUGUAGACCAGCAAAUCAUUCCAAAUUUAGCACAGGGAAACAUCUCAUGUUUAAAUCAUAAGUGUUUUUAUGGGUUUUGAGCCUUUUGCCAACUUCAUCCUCCACUUUGUUUCAGAUAACAUUCUGAAUGACGGCAGUUAUUUCUGUAUUGAGACUGGUGAUGAUGAGAAGUUCUCACAACUGGCUAGGCCUUGAUUAAAUACAUCUUGUAUUCUUUAAAUAGAAAUCAAUGGUCCUCAGGUCUUGAAAACUAGUUGGCCCCCUUUGCUUCCACCCACUUUCCUUAGAUUUUAAGCAAUUAAUGUGACCCCAUCAGCAUCCUAAUCCUACUCAUGUGACUGAGUACCACUCACAUGGAAUGGAGCUACCAAACCUAGAAAUUCUCCUUAAACUUAUAGAAGAAACAGACAUGAGGAGAGAUUUUAGUUUAAGAGAAGAUAUAUGUUCAUUCUUAGUCCUUUUCCAAUACAAAAUACUAGCUACUUCCUGUGUCUUGGAAGCUACAUAUAAAAUCCUGAUAAAGGUAUGUCCUAAAGCUUUGCAGUAGAGUAGAUGGUCUUUUCUUAGGUUGUUAUGCAAAAUUAUGAACCAUUGUUUCGGACUGAGCCUCUGCACUAGGCCCCAAUAGACCAGACCAAGCUAAAUUGGAGUCACUCAUGCUAAAUGUCACAUCAUCAAAUUGAAACUUUAAGGAAGUACAUAGAUUCCUAAACAGACUGUUUGAUUUUUCCUGAAAACAGAUUCCAGUCUAGCUGAGCCAGCAUAAAAAGGAAGUCCCCUCUGCAUUAACCCUUAUAAAAAAAAAGGAACUUGAAGUAACCUGAUGUUAACCAAUCAGUUUUUUCUAUUGUUGUUUUCUUGUUCCCACCUUAUAAAUCCCACUGUUCUGACAUUUCCCAGUGGGAUCCCUUAUUCUGUUUUGUAGAAUGGAGGGUGCUGUGAUUCAUGCAUCACAAAUAAAGUUAAUUAGUUCUGAAACUAAAUAUAUUGUAACUUUGUCUUUUGACAAGGGGUUAGUUGAUAUCCCCUCAUGGGAGGGCAGG
Molecule: long non-coding RNA, 5141 nt
Filed under: Homo sapiens (human)
Lineage: Eukaryota; Metazoa; Chordata; Mammalia; Primates; Hominidae
Description: HSALNT0070016
Source: RNAcentral